GUCACACUCAGUGUAUUUUGCCGUCAAAAACGAUGCAAUUAUUGUAGAGCGAUUACAUUGACCAAUGGCCUUCUUCACUGACAAGUUUCUUCGAAUUAAUUCAAUUUGGUUGGGCGAGCUGGCGUUGAUGUAUUGUGUUUGCCCAGCAAUAUAUCACAACAGACAGAAUUUUUAUUAUUAUUAUUAUAAUUACAAGAUAGUAAAUAUACAGAUUUUUGUCUUCCGAAAA
Long non-coding RNA from Zophobas morio, 229 nucleotides. RefSeq lists it as uncharacterized. The transcript is spliced from 2 exons. NCBI's taxonomy places the organism in Eukaryota, Metazoa, Arthropoda, Insecta, Coleoptera, Tenebrionidae. The record is from RefSeq and is a predicted model, not a curated record.